Brassica napus (rape) is the source of this 615-nucleotide long non-coding RNA. RefSeq lists it as uncharacterized. The record is from RefSeq and is a predicted model, not a curated record. NCBI's taxonomy places the organism in Eukaryota, Viridiplantae, Streptophyta, Magnoliopsida, Brassicales, Brassicaceae. The transcript has 2 exons.
GUAGUGCAAUGAGAAACAAUGAGGUAAAGAGGACCUCACUUUCUUUCUACCUUCGUGGCGAGCAGCCCAUGUUACUCACGUCAAUACUAAAUCUAAUUUUUUCUUAAAAACAAGCAAGAAAACAUAAAGUGAAAAAGUAAUAAUAAUGGAGUCUCAGGUCAGCUAAGUUAAUGGUUUGAAGCAUAUGCUUUCGAAGAUACCCUCUACAACGUCCCACUUUAUAUGGUCUAUAAACACUAAAAGAGACGUCUCUCUCAUUUGGCUCCUCUUUUGAGGUCGUAAAGGCCAUCAAUGGAUGGUGCUCAUCAAACCUUCAUCUCUCUCUUCUAUCUUUGCGUAUCUACAUAAGUGAAGCUACCUGCGAGCUUCCGGCGCCGGACAUGAGAUGAGACGCGCGACGGAGAUAAGGCUGGAGACGGGAAGAGUGAUCCGUAGACCAUUUUCUAAUAAGGUUUUAUUGAUGAGAACUACAGUGAUGUGUUACCUCUUGUCUAACUAUUAUAUACAUCUAGUUUUUCCGCAAUAUUUGUAUCAGGCCUUUUCAUCCUCAGUUAAAAUAUAAAGGCUCCUUCAUGUAACGGAUUAACAAAAUUUAUGCAUUUGGAUAUUUGAUUA